Anguilla anguilla (European eel) is the source of this 413-nucleotide long non-coding RNA. RefSeq lists it as uncharacterized. The record is from RefSeq and is a predicted model, not a curated record. Lineage: Eukaryota; Metazoa; Chordata; Actinopteri; Anguilliformes; Anguillidae. The transcript is spliced from 3 exons.
CCUACAGGGGCCAAGGAGGAAAAAAACAAGGCAGGCUGAAGUGAAUUGAUAAAAUAAAAUAAUACUGGGUAGGAAGUUGUCUCCAGGCGGAAACUCCUGAUAAAAAAAUAAAAUAAAAAACUCCAGGCAUGCCUCCAGGAACAAGCCCACAGGAAGGAAAAGAGAGGUGACUCACCAAAGCAAACCCACUGAAUGCAGAAACGACAAAGGACAAAAUUAAAGCAACUACAGCACAGAUGUAGAGAGAAGGAAACCUGUAGGGACCCAAACUGAUGAUGUCUGAGGUUGUUUGAAGCAAUGUCUGGGUAAACCAUUCACCACUGGCAGGUCAGGAGCUGCAACCCGUAAGUGAGGGAGGCACUUCUCCAGGCCAUGGCAGGGGCCCAUGGAGAAUUUGCAGCAGCUGCAUGCUA